ACUUGUGGAGUCUGCGCAAACUCAGGGGUCAGCGUCAGAAUAGUACAGCAGUAUAAUACGGGGCUUUUGACUUGCUUUGACCAAUAGAAUGUGGAGAAGUGACACUAUUUCAAUUUCAGAACUUUUUAAUUCGCCCUUGCUCUCUUGAAACCCUGAUGCUGUAAUGAAACCAUACUGCAAUGUAGCCCAGGAGGAAAAGACCACAAAGAGAGAAGAUGCCAAGCCAUACCAGCUGUGUACCUGAGCCCAGCCUGCAGCUACCCUGCCAGCUAAAUGCAGCUGUAUAAGUGAGCCUUGGUGGAGCCAGUGGAAUCACUUCGUCGACUCAAUUGUCCUUGAUUUCCUCAGCCAUGAGACAACAAACCUCGGGUAUCACCCCCAACAAUGAGGCCACUUCAUUGUGGGGCCCAUCUGGGAUCCAAGGUAGAUUCAUCAGAAGGGCAGCACCACCUAGUGGAAUAGAAAUCCUCUCCAUGAGGAGCCCCAGGUGAUUCUGAAAAUUGAAGGAAGGAAGGAAGGUGGACCUUCUUCUAGACAUUGGAACCAGCAUCCCUCUUCUCCCUAAUCCCCUUUUCCCAUAGCAUGACCAUGAUGGGCAUCUCAGAAACUGAGGAACCUGAACAUGACUGUGAACAAGUUGUGGUACAGACCUAUGCAGCCAGGGAAGCUCUCAGGGAAACUUCCCUAGAAAAUCCAGAUGGGACGCUCUU
RNAcentral lists this long non-coding RNA (710 nucleotides) under Homo sapiens (human). RNAcentral describes it as "HSALNT0178258". Lineage: Eukaryota; Metazoa; Chordata; Mammalia; Primates; Hominidae. The record is from RNAcentral.